RNAcentral lists this long non-coding RNA (257 nucleotides) under Mytilus galloprovincialis (Mediterranean mussel). The record is from RNAcentral. Lineage: Eukaryota; Metazoa; Mollusca; Bivalvia; Mytilida; Mytilidae.
UCAAAAUCCAAUCAUCUAUAUCAAAUUGCCAAAAUGUCUAUAUAUUCUAUAAGUGAUAUGUGACAUACAUUACAUACAUACCAGGGAAGAAAAGAAUGUCCCUGUCUGAAAUUAAAAUGAUCAUAAACAUGAUAAUGAAUAAUACAUAUUACUUAUAUUUUUUGUCUUUUAAUUGCAGUAAAAGAAAUACCGAUCAAGUAUAUAAAACUUCUUGGGGGACCGGGUAAAUUUACUUUGAGCAAAAACUUAUUAAACGC